Molecule: long non-coding RNA, 417 nt
Organism: Monodelphis domestica (gray short-tailed opossum)
Lineage: Eukaryota; Metazoa; Chordata; Mammalia; Didelphimorphia; Didelphidae
Source: RefSeq, a predicted model, not a curated record
AUGUCCCAUGGAUGUUGUAGAACAUAGGCUCUUUUCAUUUUGUAUGUGUAAUGUUUGUUAUAGAGCAAAGGAUUGGAGACGAGUAAAAUCAAGGGGAAGUAAGCCAUUAGUGAUGUGAAACACAGCAAACGUGAUGAUAUCAACAUGACAUCAAUAUUCAGUGAGAUUAGAGGGGUGAUUUUCCUAAUAUACUAUAUGUGCUUUCAUUAAUUUGGAUGAGGAAAAAUCCCAAAGGAGAUGGCAUGACUUCACCAAUAUCAAAAAACCAAUUAGUGAGAGAGGUAAGAGAAGAAUUCAGCUCUACUUAAUCCAAUUUUGGAGUUUUUAGCAUUAUACCAUGUUGUGAGAUUUUGGCCUCAAACUUUCUAACAUCUUUUUUUGGCAAAUCAGUAUUGCCUAUAGGAUUAACACGUGUAG